This 194-nucleotide ribosomal RNA is filed under the name uncultured bacterium. Its description in RNAcentral is "partial 16S ribosomal RNA". It matches the Rfam family "Bacterial small subunit ribosomal RNA", at positions 338 to 524 of the family's 1533-position model. The record is from RNAcentral.
CCUACGGGAGACAGCAGUGGGGAAUAUUGCACAAUGGGCGCAAGCCUGAUGCAGCCAUGCCGCGUGUAUGAAGAAGGCCUUCGGGUUGUAAAGUACUUUCAGUCGUGAGGAAGGCGUUGUAGUUAAUAGCUGCAUCGUUUGACGUUAGCGACAGAAGAAGCACCGGCUAACUCCGUGCCAGCAGCCGCGGUAAU